This 449-nucleotide unclassified non-coding RNA is filed under the name Hevea brasiliensis (rubber tree). The record is from RNAcentral. Lineage: Eukaryota; Viridiplantae; Streptophyta; Magnoliopsida; Malpighiales; Euphorbiaceae.
GCAGCCUUGUAUACAUUUAUUUAUUGACAUAUACAAAUGAAUAUAUGAGCGUAGCGAGAGCGACUAGAGUUCACGUCAGGCAAUGUAAUUGUUGAUGUAGUUGCUUGUAGUUUUUUUUUUCGUUCUAUCUAUUCGAGAUUGGGUUAGUGUUCCACUACGCCCCUCGGUAAAGACUUCCUAGUUAGCGCUCCGUCGGUCCUUCAAACCCGGCAUUCUCCGACCCUAACGCCGAUGAUACUUCUUUCUGGGCAGCCAUACAUAAUAAAUACCAUUAAAAAUGGUGAACCCGGAUCUAUUUCAAGACUCCGCUUAGCUGCUUCUAACGAAGAUAGUUCUCCGCUCCAUUAGAGUAGCAUUCCUUAUCCUCUCACUUUUAGGUAGUAAAGGAGGAAGACCGGCUCACUUCGCUGGCUAGAACCGGAUGGGAACCAUGCCCGACUCAGCACUUG